Molecule: ribosomal RNA, 253 nt
Filed under: uncultured bacterium
Lineage: Bacteria
Description: partial 16S ribosomal RNA
Rfam family: Bacterial small subunit ribosomal RNA
Source: RNAcentral
UACGUAGGGACCAAGCGUUGUUCGGAUUUACUGGGCGUAAAGGGCGCGUAGGCGGCGAAUCAAGUCAGCUGUGAAAUCUCCGAGCUUAACUCGGAACGGUCAGCUGAUACUGUUUUGCUAGAGUGCAGAAAGGGCAACCGGAAUUCUUGGUGUAGUGGUGAAAUGCGUAGAUAUCAAGAGGAACACCUGAGGCGAAGGCGGGUUGCUAGGCUGACACUGACGCUGAAGCGCGAAAGCUAGGGUAGCAAACGGG